This is a long non-coding RNA of Myotis daubentonii (Daubenton's bat), 1553 nucleotides long. RefSeq lists it as uncharacterized. Lineage: Eukaryota; Metazoa; Chordata; Mammalia; Chiroptera; Vespertilionidae. The record is from RefSeq and is a predicted model, not a curated record.
GCCGCCGCCGCCGCCGAAGUCUCCCGCCCGCAGCACUUUGUUUCCUCCCAGGCGGGGCGGAGGGGCGGGCGGGCGGCGCGCGGCGGGGGCGGGGGCGGGGGUGGCGCGGCCCGAGCGCGGCAGUCACCUCCUGGGCGGGCGCGCGCGGAGCCCCACGUGACCGCCGCCGGCCAAUGGGAAGCCGGCGGGGCGCUCUGGCGGCUCAGGAGCCGGGCCCGUAAAUUCAAACUCAGGCCCUCCGGCAGCCGUUCGCUGGGCGCGCGGCGCGGGGCGUGGUGGAGGGAGGGCCGCGGGCGGCGGGGAGUGGCGCCUGGAACUGCCCGUCGGCUGCCCGGGCUCGGCGCUCGCUGGCCGGGCCUGAGGGGCCGGGCCCGCGGGUGGCGGGAAGGAGCCGGCCCCCCUGAGGUUUCCGGGGCGGGUCCGCGCCGCCGCCCACACCCAGCGGUUCAGGGAAAUUCAAAUGUAAACGUGCUGAACAGCGACCCGCGGAACUCGCGGAGGCCUGGGGGACCCAGGGCGCUGUAACCUCAUCCCCGCCUGGCGGGCCGGGCUCGCGAAGCCGUCCGGAGGCCCCGCUGCUGGGGGCCACGGAAUGGGCGCCUGUGUCCGCGGUGCAGAACCCGCUGCGCGCUCCUCCUCUCAGACUUUCGGUGAAUACCAUCAUGGCCAGACCAAAAGAAGUUACGAAAUGAUUAAGACACAGUCCCUGCCCCACAGAAACCGAGACUGUGCAAGGAAAGGCCGUAUUUCCGAGGAGUAAAUAAGAAGGAAGCCAUUCCAACGUCAUUCUCACCCGGAGGUGAAAGCUGAGUGAAGUGAGAUCUGCAAAAUCAUUCUAUGGGAUAAACUGGUGCUGCCUGGGAUCUGGCCCCAGCCAGAAGUGCUCUUGCUGCCAUUCUGAAACAGUAAAGUGUUUCUCAGCUGUUUUUUCCAUUGUUUCCCCCACUGCAAGGAGCCUUUAGACACUUUCCUAUUCACCCCCACCACCCAUGAAAUUUUAAUACUCACAGAUAUACGAUGUGCUUUUUACAUAACAAGGUUUUUUUCCUUUUGUCCCCAAGAACCAAUUUUGAAGAAUGCAUGAAUUAAACCAAAAAUAACACUUCUGUUCAUCCGCUGCUAAGUACUGGGCACGGUGAUAAGCGCCUCAUGUGUAUCAUCUCAUUUAAUCCUCGCAAUCAUCGCCAUUUCACAGCUGAGGACACUGAGGCUCUGAGAAGUCAAACAACUUAGCCAAAUACCAUACCUAGUAAGCUGCAGACCCGAACUCAAAACAACGAACCCCUUAAUUCCAAAAUCCAUAUUCUUAAAAUUUGAGCUUCCGGGUUUGUAUGUUGUCUGCACACUAACAGGCUACAAUUUACGUCUGUUUUUUCUAAGUAUUAAAACUAACUAUACUUACUUUUUUAUUCAGUUUUCAUUGUUAACAAAGCUUUUUUAAACCUCAAUCCAAUAACUUAUGAUCCAACAACCAGACAAUUUUAUUUUGUAAAAAAGUCAUAUUAAGCACAAUUAAAAAUGAAAACAAUGAAGCUCUUAGUCUUACCAUUAUA